CCGGCGCACGGGUGAGUAACACGUAUCCAACCUGCCGUCUACUCUUGGCCAGCCUUCUGAAAGGAAGAUUAAUCCAGGAUGGUAUCAUGAGUUCACAUGUCCGCAUGAUUAAAGGUAUUUUCCGGUAGACGAUGGGGAUGCGUUCCAUUAGAUAGUAGGCGGGGUAACGGCCCACCUAGUCAACGAUGGAUAGGGGUUCUGAGAGGAAGGUCCCCCACAUUGGAACUGAGACACGGUCCAA
Molecule: ribosomal RNA, 241 nt
Filed under: uncultured bacterium
Lineage: Bacteria
Description: partial 16S ribosomal RNA
Rfam family: Bacterial small subunit ribosomal RNA
Source: RNAcentral